AUUGAACGCUGGCGGCAGGCCUAACACAUGCAAGUCGAACGAGUGGCGGACGGGUGAGUAAUGUCUGGGCAACUGCCCGAUGGAGGGGGAUCACUACUGGACACCGUCGCUAAUCCCGCAUACCAUCAGAUGUGCCCAGAUGGGAUUAGCUAGUAGGUGGGGUAACGGCUCACCUAGGCGACGAUCCCUAGCUGGUCUGAGAGGAUGACCAGCCAACCUGGAACUGAGAAACGGGCCAGACUCCUACGGGAGGCAGCAGUGGGGAAUAUUGCACAAUGGGCGCAAGCCGGAUGCAGCCAUGCCGCGUGUAUGAAGAAGGCUUUCGGGUUGUAAAGUACUGUCAGCGGGGAGGCGUUACUCGCAGAAGAAGCACCGGCUAACUCCGUGCCAGCAGCCGCGGUAAUAC
This 406-nucleotide ribosomal RNA is filed under the name uncultured bacterium. RNAcentral's name for it is "partial 16S ribosomal RNA". It matches the Rfam family "Bacterial small subunit ribosomal RNA", at positions 30 to 526 of the family's 1533-position model. The record is from RNAcentral.